This 253-nucleotide ribosomal RNA is filed under the name uncultured bacterium. RNAcentral describes it as "partial 16S ribosomal RNA". It matches the Rfam family "Bacterial small subunit ribosomal RNA", at positions 524 to 776 of the family's 1533-position model. The record is from RNAcentral.
GACAGAGGUGGCAAGCGUUGUUCGGAUUUAUUAGGUGUAAAGGGCAGGUAGGUGGCUAUGUAAGUCUGGUGUGAAAGCCCAGGGCUCAACCCUGGAACUGCAUUGGAAACUACAUGGCUUGAAUAUCGGAGAGGUGAGGGGAAUUCUCGGUGUAAGGGUGAAAUCUGUAGAGAUCCGGAAGAACACCGGAGGCGAAGGCGGCUUGCUGGUCCGGUACUGACGCUGAGGUGCGAAAGCGUGGGGAGCAAACAGG